AAACCAAAGCUGGCGACCGGCGCACGGGUGAGUAACGCGUAUCCAACCUGCCUCAUACUCGGGGAUAGCCUUUCGAAAGAAAGAUUAAUAUCCGAUAGCAUAUAUUUCCCGCAUGGGUUUUAUAUUAAAGAAAUUCGGUAUGAGAUGGGGAUGCGUUCCAUUAGUUUGUUGGGGGGUAACGGCCCACCAAGACUACGAUGGAUAGGGGUUCUGAGAGGAAGGUCCCCCACAUUGGAACUGAGACACGGUCCAA
RNAcentral lists this ribosomal RNA (253 nucleotides) under uncultured bacterium. RNAcentral describes it as "partial 16S ribosomal RNA". It matches the Rfam family "Bacterial small subunit ribosomal RNA", at positions 79 to 334 of the family's 1533-position model. The record is from RNAcentral.